RNAcentral lists this ribosomal RNA (497 nucleotides) under uncultured bacterium. RNAcentral's name for it is "partial 16S ribosomal RNA". It matches the Rfam family "Bacterial small subunit ribosomal RNA", at positions 28 to 507 of the family's 1533-position model. The record is from RNAcentral.
GAUGAACGCUGGCGGCGUGCCUAAUACAUGCAAGUCGAGCGAACAGACGAGGAGCUUGCUCCUCUGACGUUAGCGGCGGACGGGUGAGUAACACGUGGAUAACCUACCUAUAAGACUGGGAUAACUUCGGGAAACCGGAGCUAAUACCGGAUAAUAUAUUGAACCGCAUGGUUCAAUAGUAAAAGACGGUUUUGCUGUCACUUAUAGAUGGAUCCGCGCCGCAUUAGCUAGUUGGUAAGGUAACGGCUUACCAAGGCGACGAUGCGUAGCCGACCUGAGAGGGUGAUCGGCCACACUGGAACUGAGACACGGUCCAGACUCCUACGGGAGGCAGCAGUAGGGAAUCUUCCGCAAUGGGCGAAAGCCUGACGGAGCAACGCCGCGUGAGUGAUGAAGGUCUUCGGAUCGUAAAACUCUGUUAUUAGGGAAGAACAAAUGUGUAAGUAACUAUGCACGUCUUGACGGUACCUAAUCAGAAAGCCACGGCUAACUACGUG